GGUGGAUGCCUUGGCAGUUAGAGGCGAUGAAGGACGUGUUAAUCUGCGAUAAGCGUUGGUAAGGUGAUAAAAACCGUCAUAGCCAACGAUUUCCGAAUGGGGAAACCCACUUAGCAUAAGCUAGGUAUCAUUAACUGAAUACAUAGGUUAAUGAGGCAAACCGGGAGAACUGAAACAUCUAAGUACCCCGAGGAAAAGAAAUCAACCGAGAUUUCGUUAGUAGCGGCGAGCGAACGCGAAUCAGCCCUUAAGCUUAUUGGGCGCUAGUGGAAUGUUCUGGAAAGGACAACGAUACAGGGUGAUAGUCCCGUACACUAAAGCAACCUUUAAGUGAAAUCGAGUAGGACGGAGCACGUGAAACUUUGUCUGAAUAUGGGGGGACCAUCCUCCAAGGCUAAAUACUACUGACUGACCGAUAGUGAACCAGUACCGUGAGGGAAAGGCGAAAAGAACCCCUGUGAGGGGAGUGAAAUAGAACCUGAAACCGUAUACGUACAAGCAGUAGGAGCAGACUUGUUCUGUGACUGCGUACCUUUUGUAUAAUGGGUCAGCGACUUAAUGUCAGUAGCAAGGUUAACCGUAUAGGGGAGCCGAAGGGAAACCGAGUCUUAACCGGGCGUUAAGUUGCAGGGUAUAGACCCGAAACCCGGCGAUCUACCCAUGGGCAGGUUGAAGGUUGAGUAACAUCAACUGGAGGACCGAACCCACUAACUUUGAAAAGUUAGGGGAUGACCUGUGGCUGGGGGUGAAAGGCCAAUCAAACCGGGAGAUAGCUGGUUCUCCCCGAAAUCUAUUUAGGUAGAGCCUCGCACGAACACCAUUGGGGGUAGAGCACUGUUAAGGCUAGGGGGUCAUCCCGACUUACCAACCCUUUGCAAACUCCGAAUACCAAUGAGUGAUAUGCGGGAGACACACUACGGGUGCUAACGUCCGUUGUGAAGAGGGAAACAACCCAGACCGCCAGCUAAGGUCCCAAAGUACUAGUUAAGUGGGAAACGAUGUGGAAAGGCAUAGACAGCUAGGAGGUUGGCUUAGAAGCAGCCAUCCUUUAAAGAAAGCGUAAUAGCUCACUAGUCGAGUCGGCCUGCGCGGAAGAUGUAACGGGGCUAAACUAGUCACCGAAGCUGCGGAUUUGAACUUAGGUUCAAGUGGUAGGGGAGCGUUCUGUAAGCCGUUGAAGGUGAAUUGAGAAGUUUGCUGGAGGUAUCAGAAGUGCGAAUGCUGACAUGAGUAACGAUAAUGGGGGUGAAAAACCCCCACGCCGGAAGACCAAGGUUUCCUGUCCCAUGCUAAUCAGGGCAGGGUUAGUCGGCCCCUAAGGCGAGGCAGAAAUGCGUAGUCGAUGGGAAACGGAUUAAUAUUUCCGUACUUGGUAUAUCAGUGAAGGGGGGACGGAGAAGGUUAUGCAAGCCUGGCGUUGGUUGUCCAGGUGAAAGUGCGUAGAGUUGUUUCUUAGGCAAAUCCGGGAAACUACAUGCUCGAGACACGAGACGAGACUCCAAGGAGUUGAAGUUGCAAAUACCAUGCUUCCAGGAAAAGCCUCUAAACUUAUGAUAUAUCGAACCGUACCCCAAACCGACACAGGUGGUCAGGUAGAGAAUACUAAGGCGCUUGAGAGAACUUGGGUGAAGGAACUCGGCAAAAUCGUACCGUAACUUCGGGAGAAGGUACGCCCCUGUUUGUGAUUGAACUUGCUUCAUGAGCGAAUGGGGGCCGCAGUGAAAUGGUGGCUGGAACUGUUUAUUAAAAACACAGCA
Molecule: ribosomal RNA, 1757 nt
Filed under: Euplotes focardii
Lineage: Eukaryota; Ciliophora; Spirotrichea; Euplotida; Euplotidae
Description: partial Bacterial large subunit ribosomal RNA
Rfam family: Bacterial large subunit ribosomal RNA
Source: RNAcentral